AUCCAGAUGACGAGUCCUAAAUAGGACGAAGCGCGUGUUAUCCUGAAU
This 48-nucleotide non-coding RNA is filed under the name Trichobilharzia regenti. Lineage: Eukaryota; Metazoa; Platyhelminthes; Trematoda; Strigeidida; Schistosomatidae. The record is from RNAcentral.